GAUGAACGCUAGCGGCAGGCUUAACACAUGCAAGUCGUGGGGCAGCGCGGGUAGCAAUACUUGGCGGCGACCGGCAAACGGGUGCGGAACACGUACGCAACCUCCCUCAAAGCGGGGAAUAGCCUCUCGAAAGAGAGAUUAAUACCCCAUAGUAUCGUCAGAAGGCAUCUGAAGACGAUUAAAGCUCCGGCACUUUGAGAUGGGCGUGCGGCUGAUUAGGUAGUUGGUAGGGUAACGGCCUACCAAGCCGACGAUCAGUAGCUGAUGUGAGAGCAUGAUCAGCCACACGGGCACUGAGACACGGGCCCGACUCCUACGGGAGGCAGCAGUGAGGAAUAUUGGUCAAUGGAGGCAACUCUGAACCAGCCAUGCCGCGUGGAGGAUGACGGUCCUAUGGGUUGUAAACUGCUUUUAUACAAGAGAAAACCCGAGUACGUGUACUCGGUUGAUAGUAUUGUAAGAAUAAGCAUCGGCUAA
This 477-nucleotide ribosomal RNA is filed under the name uncultured bacterium. Its description in RNAcentral is "bacterial SSU rRNA". It matches the Rfam family "Bacterial small subunit ribosomal RNA", at positions 28 to 500 of the family's 1533-position model. The record is from RNAcentral.